GACGAGGGGUCCUAGCGUUGUUCGGAAUCAUUGGGCGUAAAGCGUGUGUAGGCGGCCUUGUAAGUCAGGUGUGAAAGCCCCGGGCUCAACCCGGGAAGUGCAUCUGAUACUGCUUGGCUUGAGUACUGGAGAGGAUAGUGGAAUUCCUGGUGUAGUGGUGAAAUACGUAGAUAUCAGGAGGAACACCGGUGGCGAAGGCGGCUAUCUGGCCAUGUACUGACGCUGAGACACGAAAGUGGGGAGCAAACAGGAUUAGAUACCCUCGUAGUCC
Molecule: ribosomal RNA, 271 nt
Filed under: uncultured bacterium
Lineage: Bacteria
Description: partial 16S ribosomal RNA
Rfam family: Bacterial small subunit ribosomal RNA
Source: RNAcentral